GUGAGAGAGGAGAUUUCUGUUGUUUUAAGGCACUCAGCUUGUGGAAAUUUAUUACAGCAGCUCUCGGAAACUAAGACAGUUAUUGUUGCUUUGUGAGAGUCGCUAAACCUCAAAUACAACAGGAGGAGUUUUAGAUACUUCAAUACACCCCACCCUAGCUCUCCAAAGUCCACCUGACUUUUCAAGCUCAGCUCAACGCUUAUCAUUUUCUUGACGCUUGUCGAAUUUUACCUUGUAUCCUGGAGCAUCAGGGACCUGUCAACCUCAAUCAUUCCCUGGAUUCCAAAACCACAGAUGGGAAUCUCUGGUGCCACCUUUUCUUGGCAGCAGGGAAAGAUUCACCCUCACCUUUCACCAUCAUCAGGGCUUGAGGGCCAUGCCCUAGGGCCUGGAAACAGCCUUUUGCACAAGCAGGAGGCUGUAACGUGGCCUUCCUUCUGACCCGCCCUCCCAGAGCCCUCAGAGCCUGUGGCGUGUCAUCCUUCACCCCCAUGGCACACUGCUGCGGUUUUCUCACAAGGCCGCACACAGCGAACCAGGGUGGGGCAGCAAUUAGUGCAGAAUCCUUGCAGAAGGGUGGGGAGGACAUGACACAAAGAAGCCACAAGCUCCUGGGCACAGAGACUGAGGAGCGCAACAGGCGUCGCCUGAGGCAGGCCAGGAGGAGGUUCUGUGCCCUGCGUCAGGUUGCACGACUGAGGGAGAGUGACUCUUGAUAAUUGCUGGGGAAACACCACUAUAUCUCACCCACACUGCUUUCACUGUUUCUCCCUCCUUGCCAUCAAGACCAUCUACUUCUGGCUUGAAACCACCAUUAUUGAAAUAAUGAGGGCUGGGAUGCAGAGCAGAAGGAUGAGGUUUGAACCUAACUUCUCUGACCUUCUCACUAGGAAAUGAUCCUCCACCUGUUCUUCCUACCCCUGGAAAUUGUGCAAAUGAUACCAGGGACCAGCCCUUCUUAGGAAGCUUGGCCCCUGGCUGAAGUCUGCCCCUCUGAGGACUGCAACACAGGAAGUUGCUCCCUGUGCCCCACCGGCCCUGCCCCUGCAUGACCAGCUGGAUCUACUAGGGGCCAUUCACUCACUAAAGGGCUUUGGGCAAGUCACCCAGUCCCUUUCUUUAUUUUAUUCACCCAUACCACGAAGUGACAAC
Molecule: long non-coding RNA, 1152 nt
Filed under: Equus caballus (horse)
Lineage: Eukaryota; Metazoa; Chordata; Mammalia; Perissodactyla; Equidae
Description: lncRNA (ENSECAG00000056392.1)
Source: RNAcentral